RNAcentral lists this long non-coding RNA (1154 nucleotides) under Apteryx rowi (Okarito brown kiwi). RNAcentral's name for it is "lncRNA (ENSARWG00000015308.1)". The record is from RNAcentral. Lineage: Eukaryota; Metazoa; Chordata; Aves; Apterygiformes; Apterygidae.
CCGCUGCUGGUCCUUCAGCAAGAGGCAAAGUGACUUUCUGGCCACCUGCAGAACAUCUUCAAGGCCGGCUCGGGGCGCACGUGCUGGUCACGCAUCCGCGAGCACAGGCAGCCCUGUCUUAUUUGAAUCAGACUCCACGGGCCAGGGACCAUCGUUUCUAAGUGCUUUUCGCAUCGCCUAGGCAAUGCCAGCUGGUCCGUAAGGUCCACUGCAAACAAGCAAGGAAGAGCAAGAGUGAAUCUGCUUUUAUUCCCCCGGCAGCGCAACCGCCUUAGUCUUUCUAAGCCCAAAUAAUCUAAUUGUCUGCAGCAGACAGAGCCUCCUUGUGGCUACGCCGACGGCGUCGUCUUUCACCAAAGAUUGUGAUUAUGCCCUUAAACAGAGGGCGACGAGCCCCCCGGGCCGCCGAGAGCCCCCGUUGGGCACCCCGCUCCUCCCCAGCCGCGGAGGCAGGGAGCAGCCUGGGGUUUUUGCCGCCGAAGGAUCUUCCCGGGAGGCACGCGAGGGCAUCGACGCCAGGCGAACCCGCGGAGCACCCGCGUUUCGGCGCGCGGGACAUCAGCGCCUCGGGAGGCGAAUACGCCCGGGGGUGCCAGAGCCCGUCUCCUUUACCAAGGGAAAAUCAGGAGCCCAAACCCGCUGGUUCGUGCGAGGGUCAAGAAGCCCAAAACUCUGCUUUUACACAAGCCGAAACUCCGCUACAUUUCACACAGGCAAUAAAAUCGCAUCUGAAAGCAACCUCCGCGCGCGGCGUUAUAAAACACCGCCUAGGAGGAUGCGGUAAGCGCCGCGAGAGCUCGGUAAAGCGGAGCUGCUGCUCUGCACCUGCGGGCUGCCGCGCACGCAACGUCCCCGCCGCGACAGCGCGUCCGCCUCAGCUCCUCACCGUCCCGUCCGCGCGUCUCAGCCGAGUCCGAUACCACCUCAUGCCCAACCUCCCUUUCCGUCUAGAUGACAAAUUUUCUGCCAUGUCCUGAAGACUCAUGUUGCACUGUUAGAAGGAAAAUGUGUCAGAGUAAGCAUGAAAUCCCAUGGCCUUGCCCUCAAAACAGACAACUUUUCAAGCGAUAGUUUGACCUAGAAAGGUUUUCUAGGUCAUUUUGACUUGGCAUGUAUGUCUGACCUACUAAAUCUAACACAAUAAAAUUACAGAG